CGCGUGUGUGAAGAAGGCCUUCGGGUUGUAAAGCACUUUCAGUAAGGAGGAAGCGUUGAGUGUUAAUAGUACUCAGCGUUGACGUUACUUACAGAAGAAGCACCGGCUAACUCUGUGCCAGCAGCCGCGGUAAUACAGAGGGUGCAAGCGUUAAUCGGAAUUACUGGGCGUAAAGCGCACGUAGGCGGUUUUUUAAGUCAGAUGUGAAAGCCCCGGGCUCAACCUGGGAAUUGCAUUUGAAACUGGAAAACUAGAGUGUGUGAGAGGGGGGUAGAAUUCCAAGUGUAGCGGUGAAAUGCGUAGAGAUUUGGAGGAAUACCAGUGGCGAAGGCGGCCCCCUGGCACAACACUGACGCUCAGGUGCGAAAGCGUGGGGAGCAAACAGGUUUAGAUACCCUGGUAGUCCACGCUGUAAACGAUGUCUACUAGCUGUUCGUGACCUUGUGUCGUGAGUAGCGCAGCUAACGCACUAAGUAGACCGCCUGGGGAGUACGGUCGCAAGAUUAAAACUCAAAUGAAUUGACGGGGGCCCGCACAAGCGGUGGAGCAUGUGGUUUAAUUCGACGCAACGCGAAGAACCUUACCUACUCUUGACAUCCAGAGAAGACUGCAGAGAUGCGGUUGUGCCUUCGGGAACUCUGAGACAGGUGCUGCAUGGCUGUCGUCAGCUCGUGUUGUGAAAUGUUGGGUUAAGUCCCGCAACGAGCGCAACCCUUAUCCUUAGUUGCCAGCACGUAAUGGUGGGAACUCUAGGGAGACUGCCGGUGAUAAACCGGAGGAAGGUGGGGACGACGUCAAGUCAUCAUGGCCCUUACGAGUAGGGCUACACACGUGCUACAAUGGUAUGUACAGAGGGAGGCAAGCUGGCGACAGUGAG
RNAcentral lists this ribosomal RNA (877 nucleotides) under uncultured Rheinheimera sp. RNAcentral's name for it is "bacterial SSU rRNA". It matches the Rfam family "Bacterial small subunit ribosomal RNA", at positions 398 to 1267 of the family's 1533-position model. The record is from RNAcentral. Lineage: Bacteria; Pseudomonadati; Pseudomonadota; Gammaproteobacteria; Chromatiales; Chromatiaceae.